This 425-nucleotide ribosomal RNA is filed under the name uncultured fungus. Its description in RNAcentral is "eukaryotic LSU rRNA". It matches the Rfam family "Eukaryotic large subunit ribosomal RNA", at positions 1 to 422 of the family's 3401-position model. Lineage: Eukaryota; Fungi. The record is from RNAcentral.
GAUCUCAAAUCAAGUAAGACUACCCGCUGAACUUAAGCAUAUCAAUAAGCGGAGGAAAAGAAACUAACAAGGAUCCCCUUAGUAACGGCGAGUGAAGCGGGGUGAGCUCAAAUUUAGAAUCUGGCUGGUUUACUAGUCCGAAUUGUAGUUUAAAGAAGCGCUUUCGGUGGCAGCCUGGGUAUAAAUCCUUUGGAAUAGGGUAUCAUAGAGGGUGAGAAUCCCGUCUUUGACUCAGUGCAUGCUACUAUGUGAUACGUUUUCAAAGAGUCGAGUUGUUUGGGAAUGCAGCUCAAAAUGGGUGGUAAAUUUCAUCUAAGGCUAAAUAUUGGCGAGAGACCGAUAGCGAACAAGUACCGUGAGGGAAAGAUGAAAAGAGCUUUGAAAAGAGAGUUAAACAGUGCGUGAAAUUGUUGAAAGGGAAACGU